UCGUAACAAGGUUUCCGUAGGUGAACCUGCGGAAGGAUCAUUACCGAGUGAGGGCCCUCUGGGUCCAACCUCCCACCCGUGUUUAUUUACCUUAUUGCUUCGGCGGGCCCGCCUUCACUGGCCGCCGGGGGGCUCACGCCCCCGGGCCCGCGCCCGCCGAAGACACCCCGAACUCUGUCUGAAGAAUGAAGUCUGAGUGAAAAUAUAAAUUAUUUAAAACUUUCAACAACGGAUCUCUUGGUUCCGGCAUCGAUGAAGAACGCAGCGAAAUGCGAUACGUAAUGUGAAUUGCAAAUUCAGUGAAUCAUCGAGUCUUUGAACGCACAUUGCGCCCCCUGGUAUUCCGGGGGGCAUGCCUGUCCGAGCGUCAUUGCUGCCCUCAAGCCCGGCUUGUGUGUUGGGCCUCGUCCUCCGAUUCUGGGGGACGGGCCCGAAAGGCAGCGGCGGCACCGCGUCCGGUCCUCGAGCGUAUGGGGCUCUGUCACCCGCUCUGUAGGCCCGGCCGGCGCUUGCCGAUCAACCCAAAUUUUUAUCCAGGUUGACCUCGGAUCAGGUAGGGAUACCCGCUGAACUUAAGCAUAUCAAUAA
Molecule: unclassified non-coding RNA, 588 nt
Filed under: Penicillium paneum
Lineage: Eukaryota; Fungi; Ascomycota; Eurotiomycetes; Eurotiales; Aspergillaceae
Description: sequence contains 18S rRNA gene, ITS1, 5.8S rRNA gene, ITS2, 28S rRNA gene
Rfam family: 5.8S ribosomal RNA (bases 218-370)
Source: RNAcentral